UACGGGGGGGGCAAGCGUUGUUCGGAAUUAUUGGGCGUAAAGAGCUCGUAGGCGGCUUGUCGCGUCGAAUGUGAAAACCCGAGGCUCAACCUCGGGCUUGCAUUCGAUACGGGCAGGCUAGAGUUCGGUAGGGGAGACUGGAAUUCCUGGUGUAGCGGUGAAAUGCGCAGAUAUCAGGAGGAACACCGGUGGCGAAGGCGGGUCUCUGGGCCGAUACUGACGCUGAGGAGCGAAAGCGUGGGGAGCGAACAGG
Molecule: ribosomal RNA, 253 nt
Filed under: uncultured bacterium
Lineage: Bacteria
Description: partial 16S ribosomal RNA
Rfam family: Bacterial small subunit ribosomal RNA
Source: RNAcentral